Non-coding RNA from Coturnix japonica (Japanese quail), 2009 nucleotides. NCBI's taxonomy places the organism in Eukaryota, Metazoa, Chordata, Aves, Galliformes, Phasianidae. The record is from RefSeq and is a predicted model, not a curated record.
GUGUGCAGGGCAGGAGGUCUGUGAUGAGGCAGCCUUCACUGCAGCCCCAUGUCCCACACUCAUGCACAUUAAUUCUUUUCUUAAUAUAAAUUGUUGUGUUCUUGUUCUACAACCACAAGGACUUCCAGCCUGCCAAAAAACACCCUGCUAUGCCUCAGCACUGAGGGCCCUUGCUGCUGCCUCCAGGUGACCACUCACACGUUGGGACUUCCGCCCUGCCAAAAAACACCCUGCUAUGCCUCAGCACUGAGGGCCCUUGCUGCUGCCUCCAGGUGACCACUCACACGUUGAUGUGCCCAAUAUUCCUGGAUGCCAGAAACCAGGAAAUGCUGUGUGGUGGAAGGGCUUUUUUGUGAGAAAAUGGGCCAAAACUGUCUAUUGCUGGGCUCAUUUGAUUGGGCCUCAGAGCAUUUUGAUGAGUAAGGAAAGCCACUGUGAAGCCUUCUGGAAUGGGGUAACUAAGGGACUUCCGGCCUGCCAAAAAACACCCUGCUAUGCCUCAGCACUGAGGGCCCUUGCUGCUGCCUCCAGGUGACCACUCACACGUUGGUAAGUGCUGGGCUUCCUGCAGCUUUGCACUUAUAGUAGCGGCCGUUUCCCUGUGCUGGUGUUAUUUGUGUCUUCUGUUGUUAUUUCCUGGCUCUGCUGUUAUUUGUGAUGUGUUGCUGUAUUCCUGCUUUGCAAAUGUGCCCCCCGUUCCUGGAUGCCAGAAACCAGGAAAUGCUGUGUGGUGCAAGUGCUGUCUUGUGAGAAAAUGGGCCAAAACUGGCUAUUGCUGGGCUCAUUUGAUUGUGCCUCAGAGCAUUCUGGUGAGUAAGGAAAGCCACUGUGAAACUUUCUGGAAUGGGGUAACUAAGGUCGGCCAAAGUUAAACUGUGAUGUUUGAGAUGCAUUUACACAAGGUCAUGGUGAGUCCUCACCUGCUGAGCAGCGGCCAUCAGCAGCACUGAUGGUGCGACUAAGAGAGUUGGGAAAGAGAGAUGAGCUCUCAGGUUUGGAAGUUCUUCCUACCUUUAAAAACAAAGGCAUCACUGUUUAGUAUAUGUAGAGGCUGUGCUGAAAUUGGUCUGUAUUUAGUUUAUUUCUGUUAAACAAUAAUCAAUGGGAUAUGGCUGAGGAGAAUGUAGACAAAGUCCUGGAGGGAAGGGAGAGUCUGACAGGACUUGGAACAGGGCUCAGGAGGACGUGAGUUUGAGAUGAGCGAUGUUGGUGCUUCCUGUGGGGAUUUCAGUUGGAAAAGUGGGAGGGAUUUCCCACCAUGGAUCCCUGGUCAGAUAGAGAGAUAUAUUUGAAUAUAGCUGGAGUCAAUUUCUUUUAUUUGAAAUAUUCUUUUAUUUGAGAACUGUGAAUGAAAGCUAAGAAAAAAAAACCUGAGAGCAUUAAGAAUUAGUAGCUUCUAAGAGGGAAUACCUUGGAAGUGAGAGGUAGGUUGGGGUAUGAGAGGUGAGUUUUGGGUGAGGCUGAUGUGUAGGCAUAGAAGGGUCAUCCAAAUGGCCGCGCUCCAUCAGGGCAGCUGUGUGUGUUGCUGAUGGGAUCAGGGCGGUGCUUGAGGAGGACGCCUGUGUGCCUUCUGCUGAGCAGCCACGCAGCACUGCUUGCUUACGGUGAGCUCCGUCCUGCAAGGGAUGGGCUUGUGGUGAGCGCGAGUGACGCGUGGCUGUGUUGAUUUCAGCACUGCUGAUGAUUCCUGCUGUUGGUAUUGGAAGAUCUGUCCACUUUAGCAAGGAGGAACUAAAAAUAUCAAUGAAGAUUUCUGAAUUUACUUUUAAAUCGCAAUCUUGCAUUUGAAAUUGAGGUUUCAUAACAGUGUAGAAGAAUACGGAUUUCUGGUUUAAGGCAGCAUCUGUUAAAGGAUACGUGUGGGCUGUAAGCUGACUAAGUGCCCAUCAGGAUCGAUCUCCCUCCAUGAUUCCCCCCCCCCAUUUAGUUUCCCUGUCAGUACUGUGGAUUGCUUUCAGUGAAUUACAAUGUUGAGCCAGAGCCCAUUCCCUGGAGGAGGGGGCUGUGCU